UAGAUCCUUGUACGUUAAAAGAUUGAC
Molecule: small RNA, 27 nt
Filed under: Bombyx mori (domestic silkworm)
Lineage: Eukaryota; Metazoa; Arthropoda; Insecta; Lepidoptera; Bombycidae
Description: ovarian small RNA-22111
Source: RNAcentral